UGGGGAAUAUUGCACAAUGGGCGCAAGCCUGAUGCAGCCACGCCGCGUGUGUGAAGAAGGCCUUCGGGUUGUAAAGCACUUUCAGCGGGGAGGAAGGCGUUAAGGUUAAUAACCUUGGCGAUUGACGUUACCCGCAGAAGAAGCACCGGCUAACGCCGUGCCAGCAGCCGCGGUAAUACGGAGGGUGCAAGCGGUAAUCGGAAUUACUGGGCGUAAAGCGCACGCAGGCGGUCUGUCAAGUCGGAUGUGAAAUCCCCGGGCUCAACCUGGGAACUGCAUUCGAAACUGGCAGGCUAGAGUCUUGUAGAGGUGGGUGGAAUUCCCGGUGUAGCGGUGAAAUGCGUAGAGAUCUGGAGGAAUACCGGUGGCGAAGGCGGCCCCCUGGACACUGACUGCCGCUCAGGUGCGAAAGCGUGGGGAGCAAACAGG
RNAcentral lists this ribosomal RNA (429 nucleotides) under Chloroflexota bacterium. RNAcentral's name for it is "Chloroflexi bacterium partial 16S ribosomal RNA". It matches the Rfam family "Bacterial small subunit ribosomal RNA", at positions 355 to 776 of the family's 1533-position model. The record is from RNAcentral. Lineage: Bacteria; Bacillati; Chloroflexota.